AACGAACGCUGGCGGCAGGCUUAACACAUGCAAGUCGAACGGGUGUAGCAAUACAUCAGUGGCAGACGGGUGAGUAACACGUGGGAACCUUCCUAGGGGUACGGAACAACUCAGGGAAACUUGAGCUAAUACCGUAUACGUCCGUGAGGAGAAAGAUUUAUCGCCCUUAGACGGGCCCGCGUCGGAUUAGCUAGUUGGUGGGGUAACGGCAUACCAAGGCGACGAUCCGUAGCUGAUCUUAGAGGAUGAUCAGCCACACUGGGACUGAGACACGGCCCAAACUCCUACGGGAGGCAGCAGUGGGGAAUCUUGCGCAAUGGGCGAAAGCCUGACGCAGCCAUGCCGCGUGAAUGAUGAAGGUCUUAGGAUUGUAAAAUUCUUUCACCGGGGACGAUAAUGACGGUACCCGGAGAAGAAGCCCCGGCUAACUUCGUGCCAGCCGCCGCGGUAA
RNAcentral lists this ribosomal RNA (451 nucleotides) under uncultured bacterium. Its description in RNAcentral is "partial 16S ribosomal RNA". It matches the Rfam family "Bacterial small subunit ribosomal RNA", at positions 29 to 523 of the family's 1533-position model. The record is from RNAcentral.